AUGGCCACCGACACGUUCGUCACCGACGUUGCCUUCGGGGCGGACGUGAUCGUCACCACCGUGACCAACUCCGGCGCGGCCGUAGAGGGCUGGCUCCAGGAGAUCCGCUCCGUCCUCGGCGACCUCGUCGUCGGGAUGGACGUCGAGUGGCGCCCCAGCUACAGCCCCUCCCAGAACCCCGUCGCGCUCCUGCAGCUCUGCGUCGGCCGCCGCUGCCUCAUCUUCCAGCUCCUCCACGCCGACUUCGUCCCCCAGGCUCUGUCGGGCUUCCUCGCCGACCCCAACCUCCGCUUUGUCGGCGUCGGCGUGCAGGAGGACGUCGAGCGCCUCAGCGACGACCACAGCCUCGAGGUGGCCAACGCGGUCGACCUGCGUGGCCUCGCGGCGGAGGGGAUGCAAAUGCCGGAGCUCCGCCAGGCCGGACUGCAGGCCGUGGCGCGCACCGUCAUGGGAGCCAACCUUCAGAAGCCACAGAGGGUGAGGAUGGGCCCGUGGGACGCCUACUGCCUCUCGUACGAUCAGAUCAAGUACGCCUGCAUCGACGCUUUCGUCUCCUUCGAGGUUGGCCGGAAGCUGCUCACAGGCGACCUCUGA
This 594-nucleotide ribosomal RNA is filed under the name Triticum aestivum (bread wheat). RNAcentral describes it as "partial small subunit ribosomal RNA". Lineage: Eukaryota; Viridiplantae; Streptophyta; Magnoliopsida; Poales; Poaceae. The record is from RNAcentral.